GACGAACGCUGGCGGCGUGCCUAAUACAUGCAAGUCGAGCGAAGUUUUUCUGGUGCUUGCCCUAGAAAAACUUAGCGGCGAACGGGUGAGUAACACGUAAAGAACCUGCCUCAUAGACUGGGACAACUAUUGGAAACGAUAGCUAAUACCGGAUAACAGUAUUUCUCGCAUGAGAGAUAUUUAAAAGUUGGUUAUGCUAACACUAUGAGAUGGCUUUGCGGUGCAUUAGCUAGUUGGUGGGGUAAAGGCCCACCAAGGCGACGAUGCAUAGCCGACCUGAGAGGGUGAUCGGCCACACUGGGACUGAGACACGGCCCAGACUCCUACGGGAGACAGCAGUAGGGAAUCUUCCGCAAUGGGCGAAAGCCUGACGGAGCAACGCCGCGUGAGUGAAGAAGGAUUUCGGUUCGUAAAGCUCUGUUGUUAGGGAAGAAUGGAUAUGUAGUAACUAUACAUGUAAGAGACGGUACCUAACCAGAAAGCCACGGCUAACUACGUG
RNAcentral lists this ribosomal RNA (499 nucleotides) under uncultured bacterium. Its description in RNAcentral is "partial 16S ribosomal RNA". It matches the Rfam family "Bacterial small subunit ribosomal RNA", at positions 28 to 507 of the family's 1533-position model. The record is from RNAcentral.